UUGUCAGCUUGGGGAAGCUCUU
This 22-nucleotide microRNA is filed under the name Gallus gallus (chicken). Its description in RNAcentral is "gga-miR-6575-5p". Lineage: Eukaryota; Metazoa; Chordata; Aves; Galliformes; Phasianidae. The record is from miRBase by way of RNAcentral.